Molecule: ribosomal RNA, 373 nt
Filed under: uncultured bacterium
Lineage: Bacteria
Description: bacterial SSU rRNA
Rfam family: Bacterial small subunit ribosomal RNA
Source: RNAcentral
GUAGGGUGCGAGCGUUGUCCGGAAUUAUUGGGCGUAAAGAGCUCGUAGGCGGUCUGUCGCGUCGAUCGUGAAAACUUGGGGCUUAACCCUGAGCUUGCGGUCGAUACGGGCAUGACUGGAGUUCGGCAGGGGAGACUGGAAUUCCUGGUGUAGCGGUGAAAUGCGCAGAUAUCAGGAGGAACACCGGUGGCGAAGGCGGGUCUCUGGGCCGAUACUGACGCUGAGGAGCGAAAGCGUGGGGAGCGAACAGGAUUAGAUACCCUGGUAGUCCACGCCGUAAACGGUGGGCGCUAGGUGUGGGGGCCAUUCCACGGUCUCUGUGCCGUAGCUAACGCAUUAAGCGCCCCGCCUGGGGAGUACGGCCGCAAGGCUA